Molecule: long non-coding RNA, 1196 nt
Organism: Notolabrus celidotus (New Zealand spotty)
Lineage: Eukaryota; Metazoa; Chordata; Actinopteri; Labriformes; Labridae
Exons: 3
Source: RefSeq, a predicted model, not a curated record
AGAGUACCCUCAAAGUUACGUGCACACACAAGCUUCUGCAGUGUUUGAUCCAGAAUAUCUGAGUAAAGAUGGCCGCCAUGUUGGAUUGACUGCAACAAGGGACCAAAGAGGACAUGGAUCAAAGCAGAUAUGCAUCACAGACACGUCGCUUUUUGUCACCCUCGCUGUGACAGAAAGCGACGUGAUGUGAGGCGGCGCCGAAGGAGAAUAAUUUCACUCAGCGGUGUCUUCUGAGCAGUCGCCGCCUUUUCUUCAGGCACAGUGUGACUCUGAGCAGUCUGACUCGACGGAUGUUUCACGGGAGAAAAGUGAUUUCUACUUUGGCUGCACAGCUGGUGGACUGUCAAGUCUAAUUGUUUUCUUUCCUCAUCCAUUCUCCCCGCCAGCGUCUUCUUUGCUUUCUGCAUCAGAGCCAAUCAGUGCGGAGGUAAUCAAACAUUAGCCAAGGUACACAAAAACACGCCUGGUUACACAACUCUUUUGUUAUCUGUCGAUACAUCACCAUUCCUUCUGACAGUGACUCAAGCUGGACCCAUCUGUGCAGAACUACACAGGGCCUCAUGGCAGCAUGCUCAAAGGAGGACACCUACAGUGCGCUUGCAAUGAAAAGUAAAUAUAGAGCUUUAAACCAAUCAGAAACACCUAAAUCCACCAUGACUGGUACACCUAAAAUACAAUCUAUAAUAUAAGCUCCCCUUGAUUUUGAGAUGACCCCCACUUUUAGGUAAGCAGUGUUACCAGUAUCUAAAGGCGUUUUCAACUGCAGGGACUUCAACUGGAGGAACCAGGGUCUAAAUUUAGUUCAGGGUUAGUUAAUCUCCCUCCUGAAAAGCCCCUGCUUGGAGGGGUAGUACUUUUCAAAGUCCCAGGACUUUCAGGGGACAGGGCCUGCAAUGCUGAACGUGUCUGAUUGGUAGAUUAACCGCAGUGUUCGCUGUGUUUCUUUAAACCCACCUGCAAAUUUGCUCUCCCGGUGUUAUGGCUUUAAAAGUGACCCUUUAAAGUGGAGACCUUCAGCUGAGGGAGUUCCUGGGAAUGCAAACUAGUUUAGUUUUUUAUGAAGAUUUUAAAAUAUCCAAAGCUUGGUUGAUUCUAAGGGCCAAUGGCUAAGAAAGGCCCCUAAAAAAAUCUUACAAUAGAUAUGUAAGUUUUUCAAUGUGUGUUUAUUAAUCUGUUGUCAAGACAUGACUAUUUCA